AGAGUUUGAUCCUGGCUCAGGACGAACGCUGGCGGCGUGCUUCACACAUGCAAGUCGAGCGGAAAGGCCCUUCGGGGUACUCGAGCGGCGAACGGGUGAGUAACACGUGAGUAACCUGCCCCUAGCACCGGGAUAGCUCCGGGAAACCGGAAUUAAUACCGGAUACAACCACGGUCGGCAUCGACCAUGGUGGAAAGGAU
Molecule: ribosomal RNA, 200 nt
Filed under: uncultured bacterium
Lineage: Bacteria
Description: partial 16S ribosomal RNA
Rfam family: Bacterial small subunit ribosomal RNA
Source: RNAcentral